GGGGAUAUAGCUCAGUGGUAGAGCUCCUGCUUUGCACGCAUGAGAUCACGGGUUUGAAUCCCAGUGUCCCCC
Molecule: transfer RNA, 72 nt
Filed under: Cricetulus griseus (Chinese hamster)
Lineage: Eukaryota; Metazoa; Chordata; Mammalia; Rodentia; Cricetidae
Rfam family: tRNA
About the family: Transfer RNA (tRNA) molecules are approximately 80 nucleotides in length. Their secondary structure includes four short double-helical elements and three loops (D, anti-codon, and T loops).
Source: Rfam by way of RNAcentral